GAUUUUAGAAUGCAGUUUUGAAAAAGCCCAACUUGAAAAUAGGUUAAGACAACUUGAAACGUAUCGUUUUCUGUUUCCUGUUCUUCUCCACCAUGGCCACGAAGCUCCAACUGUUUCGAUUCAUCUUCUUCCUCAGAGCUUGAUUUUCACCGGUUACGCAUUCAUCUUCUUAAAGUCGUCCUUGAUUUCAUCAUCCACGAUCUCCAUUUAUUGUAUGUUUCGCUCUUGCAAGGCGGUGGAGAAAUCUCAGUAUAAAAAGCCCGGCUGAUGUUCCUACACGAUUGAGGUGAUGUUGCUUCGUUUCUGGGAGGCUAGGAAUGUUAGGCAGGGUGAUGAACUCAAAACGAUGAAGAUCAAGGCUUAAAAUUAGGUGUAAUCAGAAUUUAGACUUUUAGACUCUCCGCUGUUGAUACGGUUCAGUGAUUCGAUCCGUUUUUAUGAGAAAUACAGUAAUGUUCUAUGAGUGAAAUCAAUUAAAACUUUUCGUUGAGAGACAAUAAUUUAAAAGUUUUACAAGGCUAUGGCUAUCGUUGUUUCUAUGUUUACUGAAGAGGAGACUGAGAGGUACAUAUCAUCUGGUUUGCUUUCUCCAAAUGUGGAGGCUAAGAUUGUGGAUCAGGAUACGGUCGUGUCUUGGGGUUUGAUCAAACUGGCGAACUCAGGUUCCGGAGUCCUACUGUGAUGAAAGGUUAUUUCAAAAACGUAGAAAGCUACUGCUUCUACUAUUGAUUCAGAAGGAUGGUUGAAGACCGGAGAUGUGUGUUACAUUAACAGUGAGGGUUUUGUCUUUGCUGUUGGUAGAUUAAAGGAGCUAAUCAAAUGCAACGGAUAUCAGAAGCAGUGUUGCUAGCUCAUCCAGAGAUUGCUGAUGCAGCAGUAAUACCUAUCCUGACAAGAAAGCUGGGCAAUAUCCAAUGGCAUAUAUCAUCAGAACAACUGGAAUCAACUUAUCCGAAAGUGAAAUCAUGAUCUUAGUCGCAAAGCAGGUGUUUUCAACCAUGCAGACCAUGUUUUGUAACUAAUCCAGCCGUGGUUCCUUAUAUUUAUUCUGAGUUUUGUUUGGAUUACGUAGGUAUCUCCAUACAAGAGGAUAUGUAAGGUCAGUCACGGUUUUGUCUUCGAUCCCCAAGAAUCCCUCUGGCAAGAUUUUAAGAAGAGAACUUAUAAAGCUCACAACCUCAAAGCUCUGGCAGGGAGCUGUGUCCACCAGCCUUAUCUCACACUUCACCAUUAGUUAACUCAUUUAUUUGGUUAAUUCCUCUAUAAAAAUCUCAGUCAAAACUGAAAUAUUACAAACUUAUCAAUUCUCAUACUGAAUCUCUGUUUCUCUGUAUAUACAAACAGAAUAUAUUACAUAAAUAAAUAAAAUCAAACGUUAUAAUAAUUAAAUAAAUAUAAUAUAACAAGACAUUAUGGGCCAAUAUUUAGCCAAUAUAGCUAGCAACCCCGUACCAGUUGGCUAGGGAGAAUCUAUGAAUUAUCAAAACAACUUAAAUUAGUGGAAGUAUUAUAAAUUAUGGGCAAACACUUGGCGAUAUUAAUCGAAUAUAACUUGUGACACAAACCACAAAAAUGAAACAAUACGAUAGUGUGUACAAUAAAUUAU
Long non-coding RNA from Brassica napus (rape), 1606 nucleotides. RefSeq lists it as uncharacterized. The transcript has 5 exons. The record is from RefSeq and is a predicted model, not a curated record. NCBI's taxonomy places the organism in Eukaryota, Viridiplantae, Streptophyta, Magnoliopsida, Brassicales, Brassicaceae.